Molecule: ribosomal RNA, 420 nt
Filed under: bacterium
Lineage: Bacteria
Description: partial 16S ribosomal RNA
Rfam family: Bacterial small subunit ribosomal RNA
Source: RNAcentral
UGGGGGAUAUUGCACAAUGGGCGAAAGCCUGAUGCAGCGACGCCGCGUGGGGGAUGAAGGCUUUCGGGUUGUAAACCUCUUUCUCUAUCGAACAAGGCCCGCUUAGGGUGGGGUGAGGGUAGGUGGAGAAGAAGCGCCGGCUAACUACGUGACAGCAGCCGCGGUAAUACGUAGGGCGCGAGCGUUGUCCGGAAUUAUUGGGCGUAAAGGGCUUGUAGGCGGCUUGUUGCGCCUGCUGUGAAAACGCGGGGCUUAACUUCGCGCGUGCAGUGGGUACGGGCAGGCUUGAGUGUGGUAGGGGUGACUGGAAUUCCAGGUGUAGCGGUGGAAUGCGCAGAUAUCUGGAGGAACGCCGAUGGCGAAGGCAGGUCACUGGGCCAUUACUGACGCUGAGGAGCGAAAGCAUGGGUAGCGAACAGG